GUCUCUCCUGGGCCUCCGGCUCCGUCCCUCAGGGUCUGAACCUUUCUGUCCCCUCUCCUGUGGGUCGUGGUCUCUCUCACUGUCCACAGGCAGGCCUUGGAGCUUUAGUCUGGCCUGGCGCUGGGGCUGGGGGGAGGUUCCAUGACAGUUGGAGGGGUUCCAGGAGGUUGGGACGUUGGCCAUGGACUCAUGUUCUACUCUAGGUGCACUGGAACCGAUCUCUUCAUGGGAGGAGGACCGCAAGUUCGUCCUGCGAGCCUGGUGUCUCGUCUUCAUCAUCCUGGCAACCAUGAUGCUGCUCAGCGUGCUGGACGGGCGUAUGGCCUACCUGCACGGUUCCUACACCGGCUACGUGGGCUUCUGGACCAACUGCGAGAAGCACACGUGUGCCGACCUGCGCCAAGUCACGGUUCUCAUCCACAUGAGCAUGGGCCUCAUGAUCCUGGCCAUGAUCCUGUCUCUAGUCCUCCUCCUGGCCAUGGGCUUCUCCUUCCGGCCCGCGCUCCGCCGUCUUAACAAGACCGACCUCGUCUUCAGUACCCUCAGCUCCUUCACUGGAAUCCUGAGCUACUUAAACUACAUGGGCAUGUGGGGCAAAGGGACGCCCUCCAUGGAACGGCGGAUGAGCUACCGCCGGUGGGCCUCGCUGCAGAACACCCGGAAGUCCUUAUCCGAACCGCCGCCGUCGUUGGACGCAGGCUCCAAGCACAACGAGGACCUGUCCGUUUAAGAGCCUGCCCCCGGCCCCCCACCACCGCCAGCCCCGUCCAAGCCUCUCGAAGCCAACUGCACCCGAGCUUCUCAGGACACUGAUGCCAGGCCACCCCUUUCACCUUGGCCUUCCCGCCCAGCGUGUCUCUCCCUGCCCCCACCCCGGAAGUCCGACGGUGCCCACUCGCGUUCAGCGCCCGCGCGUGGCCAGAGCGGUGUGGCCCCGGCCCCGAGCCUGGUGAGGCCCCGCCCCCAGGUGUCUAGCUCUCACUGGCGGGGGCCUGAAGCCUCACGCCAUUAUAGGCAUUCCUACCCCUCCGAGGGCCAGCACCGCCCCAGAACGUCCAGUCUGGCCCCCCGGACAGACAUGACACUGCCCAGCCUUGGAUGUCGCCCCGCUCAACGGUGGAACAGGCCCUACCCCCGGGGGGCGUGGCUUGCAAUUAUAUUUCCACCGUCCUUCACGUUC
This 1180-nucleotide long non-coding RNA is filed under the name Capra hircus (goat). RNAcentral's name for it is "lncRNA (ENSCHIG00010013249.1)". Lineage: Eukaryota; Metazoa; Chordata; Mammalia; Artiodactyla; Bovidae. The record is from RNAcentral.